This is a long non-coding RNA of Oncorhynchus mykiss (rainbow trout), 2327 nucleotides long. NCBI's taxonomy places the organism in Eukaryota, Metazoa, Chordata, Actinopteri, Salmoniformes, Salmonidae. The record is from Ensembl.
AUGGUAAAAAAAACACCUGCUUUGAGGGAAACAGAUUUUCAGCGGAGUUGGGUCUUCCUCUCUGGGCACAGUAAAAGACACGCAGAUCAAAGCUCACGACCACGAUGUGAACACAGUGGCGUUUGCCGACAGCUCGUCCCAGCUGCUGUUCUCAGGCAGCGACGACGCGCUCUGCAAGGUGUGGGACAGACUGACGCUGCGGGAGGACAGACCCAAGCCCGUGGGCCAGCUGUCUGGACACAGAGACUGUAUCACCUUCAUCCACAGCAAGGUAAUAGAGGAGAACCACUACCGUGUGUAUGCGUCCAGCAUGUGCAAUCACUCUCUUACAUUCUCUUACUGUGUUGGGUAGUCAUCGAUAUCAAAGCCUAAACACAUACAUGGGACAAUGUACUGUUUAUACAUAAAUACACUGUUCUGAUAUAACUGGACAGGUGAAAGCUAUGCAGGGCCGUUUCACCAAUCAGCAAGCGCUGCGAUAGUGAGGAAGGAUGCAUUUUGUAGUAUUUGGACAGGGUCUAAAACUCUAACCACUUCAUCCUGAUACUGUGCACAUUAAGGUAUAAACCUUCUCUGUGUGCCUGUUGACUCCUCAUCCCUGUCAGGAAGAUACAGGUUCAUUAUAAACCUCCUCUGUGUGUCUGUUGACUCCUCAUCCCUGUCAGGAAGAUACAGGUUCAUUAUAAACUUCCUCUCUUCAGCUUGCAGGGCGACGCACGUUAUCUGAUCAGUAACUCAAAAGGACCAGUCCAUCAAACUGUGGGACAUGAGGAAGUGGUGGCCUCGCGGCUGAACAUCGUCCAACAGGACUGGGAGUACCGUUGGCAGCACGUUGCCCAGAAUGGUGCUGGGGAGGCCAUGAGGUUGUUGUACAUCUGUACUGGGUCCUAGUCGAGAUCACAUUUAGAUUAGCAAGUGGGCCAGAAACACAGUCCAAUCCGACUGUAAUCUACUCUAGAUUGCUCUCAGAAAAUCUCAUAUUUGCUAUAUUAAGUAUUGAUGACAUACAGUAUGUUUAAUCAUUAAUCUCCUACUACCCCUCGCAUUUGUUGUUCAGCUGUACUUGAGGCAGCUGUACUUGACUGUACAAUAGCUGGUUGUGUCGACUGACCUGUCGUCUGCCUGCUGUCUGUUUGUCCGUCUGUCCUCCCAGCCCAGGAGAGACACUAGCUGGCAGGCGACACCUCAGUGAUGACCUACAGGGGUCACGGUGUUCUGCACACACACUCAUACGCUGUCGGAGUUCACCGCCGGACAGAAGGGGGUGGAAACAAGCGAGGAAAAGGAAGUGAUGUCAUAAGUGUGGGACAGCCUGACGGUGUCAGUCAGUGACUUCACUAUGGGGAGAGGCAGGACCGCAACAGAGGGAGGAGAACAAGCUCAGAGUGAACUGUGAAAUUGCAUUGAUUCAAUGCUAGAUAACAAUACAUAUAAUGUAAAUUCUUACCUCUGUGUGUUUGGUGCAGAAGCCACUAUUACCCCCUGUAUUCACCAAUCUGCAGAGAAGGGAUACAGUUGAGGCAUUGUCUUCUUUCAGGGGCCUUACUCCUACUCCUAGCCACGCUACCUUGUGUUAUAAAACAAUGACAUUUAAGGAGAGUUGUCUCUUCUGAUGCACCCCAGUGUACAGUAAGAAUAGGAUGAAGGAGACGAAAGCCUCUAUGAAGUUUGGCCGGAGCCGUUUAUGCAGAACUUAUUGAAGCUCACUAAGCACUUGCUCCAAGAGCCCCCAACAAGCCUCAUGCCCACAUUGUGUUUGGUUGCUUAGAGUAAAAAGCAGCCCCCAAAUAAUGCAUGUGUAGACUAAAAUAAUGUCAUAAAUCACAGAAUGAUGAUAAUUCAGUAUAAGGUAUGUUGUAAUGGAAUUAAUGUCCAGAGGUAAGAAGACAGUGUACAAAACAUUAGGAACACCUGCGCUUUCCAUGAGACUGACCAGGUGAAUCCAGGUUAAAGCUAUGAUCCCUUAUUGAUGUCACUUGUUAAAUCCAAUUCAAUCCGUGUAGAUGAAGGGGAGGAGACAGGUUAAAUAAAGAUUUAAAAUAAAUAAUAAUAAUUAAAGCCUUGAGACCAUCGCGACAUGGAUUGUGUAUGUGUUCUGGGCUUUAAGACACAGUAAAGGGUUUGGGUGUGUGAGUGUGCUUGGAACAUCAACCUUGAUAAAAUCUCUACAAAUUGUUUUACAAUAAAACCCAGGAAAUACAGUCAUCAGAAAUCCAACGAAGGGAAUUGGCAGAAAUCUGCAAAAGUUAUGAUUGCUCAACAUUGAUUGUGACGACCUGUCGAACCUCUGCAGUAAUGGGCUUUACAGAUGGGUUUUCUAUAAAAGU